This 2289-nucleotide long non-coding RNA is filed under the name Mus musculus (house mouse). RNAcentral describes it as "long non-coding RNA chr7:18926400-18928689". Lineage: Eukaryota; Metazoa; Chordata; Mammalia; Rodentia; Muridae. The record is from RNAcentral.
GGUGGUAAGUGUCCUUGUGGUGUAUGAGGGAACCAAGGAUGAGGGGCGUGGGUCCCUUCUGGGCCAGUGUGUCCUUGAGGGGUGUGUGAUGUGACCCUUUCGGGGCAGGGGUGUUCCCUCGGGCUUGCGUGUCCCGGUUGGGGGAGGGGAAGGAGUAGAGUCAGGCCUGUGGACCGAGAGCUUCUGAGCCUCACUCCCUGGGGAUGUCCUGAACAAGGGUUGUCCCGGAAAGGGGCGGGUGUGGACAGUAUGCAGGACCGUGCAUGGAGACAGACUGGGUGGGUGUGUUGGGUGACAUGGAAGAAAGGGUGGGUGUGUAAAACUGGAGGGGAAAGAGAUGGAAGGCUAGGACAGGUGUGUAUCCGUGGUGGGUCGUGUAGGGCCUGGAUAUGUGACAUUAAGGGACCAUGGAUGUGACGGGGUAGGGGUGUGUGAGUAUGUGUGUAAAAGAGAGCCGGAUGUGAGGUCCUCCAAGGGAAGGUGCUUACCAGCCCGGAGGGGGCUCUUGUCCUGUGACACACCAGUGAGAGGGGGUGUGUAACAUGCAGGGGGGUGUGUAGGGAGGCAGAAAGGAUGGACUCUGGGUGUGAACCGUGAGAACAUUCGUGGACCGGGAAAAGGGGUUCUGUGUGGGGGAUACCGCUGUGUAUAGGGUGGAGUGGGACCAGUAGAAGCUGGUGCUAGGAUGUGACAUGGAAAAGGGUGUAGGUGUGACUCUAGAGAGGCUGGGUGUGACACAUGGAGGUGUGCAAUAGUGACAUCAGAGGGGGGUGUGUAACUGGGGGGGAUGGGGGGAUGAAAAGGGAGAGCUGGGGCUUGUGGUUCAGUGAAACCCAUGGAGGGUGUGUUCCCAAGGAAAUCGGGGGGAAAAAUGGAGUUCCAAGCGACUGGGGACAUAUGCUUAAAACACCCUGGAGCUUGGAGUUGUGUGACACCCAAAACUGUGUAGAUGUGUAUAAGACAGAGAGCUCUGUGUAGAAUAACUGGGUGUGUCACGCUAGAGAUGUGGGGGAGAUGCAGGGUGUACAAGAGCAGAGGACAUGGGUGUGUGCACACGUGUAUGAGGCAGCUCAGUGUUAGACGCCUCGGAGAUGUGUCAGCUGCACAAAACGGGCCCUCUACGUGUGCCAUCCGGGAGAGGUGUGCACAGCAGAGAAACACAAGCCAAGCACAGGACUCCACUUACUAUCCUCGAUGUUAGGGAACAAGUAGGGCAUGGGAGAAGAGGGAUCCUCAGGGCGCUUCGGAUCUCUGAUAAGAAGACCCAAAAAUAUAAUAUACAGAUUGAUUCUCCCUCAUGAGUGCCCUGUUCAAAAUCCCCUCCUAAUCUUGUUCUUGUCUUCAACAAACAGUAUAAUAUCCUCCAGCCUGGCUUAGGUGCCCACUUCCCACCCAGGCAUAUGCACAGGCUCCCACUUCUUGCUCUCACCCCCUCACCUCAAGCCAGGUGGGACAGGAUCCCAAGUUCCUUUGGAUCCAUGGGAGGGUGCUCAGCAGAAAUUGAAGGAAAGGGAAGUUGGGGGAGGGGUGGAAGAGAAUUUCCUGCCUAUCUUCCUGCACCCACCCCCAACACACGUAUGAAAAUGUCCAAAGCCGACUUCCUUUCUUCCUUCCUGCCCUGCUGCAGUUGCCAGUCCCAGUAAGGCUCAGGGACCCAGAUUUGGCUAGGCGGCACAUUACAGCAAGCAGCUGCUAAAGAAGGCCCCUUCAAGUGCUGCCCUGUGGUGCCUACUGCCAUCAGGCAGGCUCCAAGAUCUGGGUGAAUUUCCCAACACAACCCUCAGAAGACAUUAUUUGAGGUGCGUUUUUACCGGUGAGGGAAACUGAGGCUCUGCAAGAUAAAACAUCUUGUCCAAGGUCGAAGGCUCCUAAGUGGCAGGUCCAGAAUUUAUUGAACCCUGGACUGGCUGGCCCACUGGGAUUUCAAUGCUUCCUUCUACAUUGCUGAAACUAAGGGACCAUGACUGCAGACCCUUCCUCACCUCCAAACCAAGUAUGAGGAAGCAGGCCAGGAGAUACAAAAGGGCAGUCCUCAAUUGAGAGGGAUAGUCUGGGGCAAGGCAAGCGGUAAUGACUUUGAUCUCGAAUUUUCUGGUUCCUUUCAAUGGGGGACGGUGGUGGCUGUGGGACACUUGAUCCACCCCUGCCCCUUUCCAAGCUUCUGUGUCCCCUACUUCCCAAUACAGACAUGACGAUAACUACAUUGAUAAUGUCAUAAUGGCUGGCAAUAUCAAUGCUUAAUGCCUGACAUACAAUUGCAUCUCCUUCUCCCAAUGUGCUAUGAUGUUU